This 63-nucleotide transfer RNA is filed under the name Rattus norvegicus (Norway rat). It matches the Rfam family "tRNA". Rfam says of the family: Transfer RNA (tRNA) molecules are approximately 80 nucleotides in length. Their secondary structure includes four short double-helical elements and three loops (D, anti-codon, and T loops). Lineage: Eukaryota; Metazoa; Chordata; Mammalia; Rodentia; Muridae. The record is from Rfam by way of RNAcentral.
GGGGAUUUAGCUCAGCGGUAGAGCGCUUGCCUACCAUGCGCAAGGCCCUGGGUUCAGUCCCCA